AUGAGGACCUGUGAGGAGUGUCUAAGACAGUUCCCACAAAGGGUACAGUGGAGAAAAAAAAUCUGUGCAAACGAAGAAAGGCAACACUGGAAACUCAUGAGAGCAGAGAAGAAGAAAAAGUUCAUAGGAGGUGACAGUGGGAAUGAAGAUGAGGCUGGAGAGGAGGAGGUGGUGGAGCCAUGUCUUAUGCCUGGUGAUAAAUGAAAAUGCUGAAUUUCCACAGGUAAUACACCUUAUAAUUCAGCAAACCCAGAUGGGACGAGUGCAACUAAUGCCAGGUUCAUUUAAACAUCAACUUCUGAGGUAAGGAAGAGAAGGAAGUAAAUGAAAACAGGGUAUUGACUCUUAAAUGUGACACCCUAGGGAGGCUGUUUGCAUAGUGGUUAAGAACACAGACCAGAUUUGCCUGCAUUUGAAUCUAACUUCCUUUAUUGACUAUGUGACUCUGGGCACAUUUCUUAUCUUUUCUUUGCCUCAGUUUUCUCAUCUUUAAAGUUGGAGGACAGUUUGACCUCAUGGGGUUAUUACAAGGAUUAAUUUAGUUUAUUAAAAGUACUUAGAACAUUGCCUGGCAAUAGUAAACACCACAUAAAUGUCAGUUACUAUCACUCAAAAUUAUAAUAAUGAAUAGAUGAAGGCUCCAGAAACAUUUUUAGUUUUUAGAAGUCUGAGGUUUUUUUUUUUUUGUAGUGUUUUUGAUUUUUAAAAGAUCACCAAUGGGGCUUGGAUUACUCCAAGAAAAACAAAGUAUGGCUUAAUACACUGAUAAAUGAGUUUUUAAGAGAGAAACCAUUUUGUAUGACCCAGUACAAGGAGUAAAGUUGACUCACAGGAGAUGUCUGGCUGGCAUGAAAACCAUUAAAGAAAAUCCUGAGCACGAUGUUGACCUCAACUCAGAAACACAUGCUUUACAUUAUCAUCCUAUCACUUCUUGAGCUCCUGGCAUGUGUCGCUGAAACAGACAGACUUGUUUUUGUAAUUUUUUUCAAGUAGUCAUUCUCUGUUAUUGCUUUUGAUUUAGAUAAACGACCUUCUAACUAACUAUUGGGAAACCUUUUGUAGACUUUAUUUGUGAUGGUUAUGUAAAGUGAUAGCUGCGAAAGACUGUCAAAAUCUCUCCUAACAGUGUGCUUUUCCAAAAGAAAGGCCAAUUUCUUUGAAAGUAAUAAUGAAAGGAUAAUAGAAUCCCAGAUAUAAGAAGGAAUAAGGUCUGUGAGCUCAUG
RNAcentral lists this long non-coding RNA (1223 nucleotides) under Bos indicus x Bos taurus (hybrid cattle). RNAcentral describes it as "lncRNA (ENSBIXG00005020176.1)". Lineage: Eukaryota; Metazoa; Chordata; Mammalia; Artiodactyla; Bovidae. The record is from RNAcentral.